UCUACCUCUGAGAACAUCACACAGAAAGUAGUUUGGGUGGAAGAACCAGACAAAAGGUCAUUUCUGCUUGACCUCUUAAAUGCAACAGGCAAGGAUUCACUGACCUUAGUGUUUGUGGAGACCAAAAAAGGUGCAGAUUCUCUGGAGGAUUUCUUAUACCAU
This is a non-coding RNA of Microcebus murinus (gray mouse lemur), 162 nucleotides long. Lineage: Eukaryota; Metazoa; Chordata; Mammalia; Primates; Cheirogaleidae. The record is from RefSeq and is a predicted model, not a curated record.